GGCGACGUGGCCAAGUGGCAAGGCGGGGGUCUGCAAAACCCCUAUUCACCGGUUCGAAUCCGGUCGUCGCCUCCA
RNAcentral lists this transfer RNA (75 nucleotides) under Chloroflexi bacterium RBG_13_51_18. RNAcentral's name for it is "tRNA-Cys". It matches the Rfam family "tRNA". From Rfam's summary of the family: Transfer RNA (tRNA) molecules are approximately 80 nucleotides in length. Their secondary structure includes four short double-helical elements and three loops (D, anti-codon, and T loops). Further hydrogen bonds mediate the characteristic L-shaped molecular structure. tRNAs have two regions of fundamental functional importance: the anti-codon, which is responsible for specific mRNA codon recognition, and the 3' end, to which the tRNAs corresponding amino acid is attached (by aminoacyl-tRNA synthetases). tRNAs cope with the degeneracy of the genetic code in two manners: having more than one tRNA (with a specific anti-codon) for a particular amino acid; and 'wobble' base-pairing, i.e. permitting non-standard base-pairing at the 3rd anti-codon position. Lineage: Bacteria; Bacillati; Chloroflexota. The record is from RNAcentral. RNAcentral also lists the same sequence under 2 other names.